UACGUAUGGAGCAAGCGUUAUCCGGAUUUACUGGGUGUAAAGGGAGCGCAGGCGGCGCGUUAAGUCUGAUGUGAAAACCCGCGGCUCAACUGCGGGACUGCAUUGGAAACUGGCGGGCUUGAGUGCCGGAGAGGCAAGCGGAAUUCCUAGUGUAGCGGUGAAAUGCGUAGAUAUUAGGAAGAACACCAGUGGCGAAGGCGGAUUACUGGACGAUAACUGACGGUGAGGCGCGAAAGUGUGGGGAGCAAACAGG
Molecule: ribosomal RNA, 253 nt
Filed under: uncultured Eubacteriales bacterium
Lineage: Bacteria; Bacillati; Bacillota; Clostridia; Eubacteriales
Description: uncultured Clostridiales bacterium partial 16S ribosomal RNA
Rfam family: Bacterial small subunit ribosomal RNA
Source: RNAcentral